This 257-nucleotide ribosomal RNA is filed under the name uncultured bacterium. Its description in RNAcentral is "partial 16S ribosomal RNA". It matches the Rfam family "Bacterial small subunit ribosomal RNA", at positions 98 to 354 of the family's 1533-position model. The record is from RNAcentral.
CGGGACGGGUGAGUAACGCGUGAGUAACCUGCCUGUAAGAGGGGGAGUAACACAGAGAAAUCUGUGCUAAUACCGCAUAUUGAAGUUUUUCCGCAUGGGGAAGCUUUGAAAGAUUUAUCGCUUACAGAUGGACUCGCGUCUGAUUAGAUAGUAGGCGGGGUAACGGCCCACCUAGUCGACGAUCAGUAGCCGAACUGAGAGGUUGAUCGGCCACAUUGGGACUGAGACACGGCCCAGACUCCUACGGGAGGCAGCAG